UCUUUAGUUGUCCAUCAUUGAGUUGGGCGACUCUAAAGAGACUGCCGGUGGUCAAACCGGAGGAAGUGGGGAUGACGUCAAGUCCUCAUGGCCUUUAUGACCAGGGCUACACACGUACUACAAUGGCCGGUACAAAGGGCAGCGACACAGCGAUGUGAAGCGAAUCCCGAAAAGCCGGUCUCAGUCCGGAUUGGAGUCUGCAACUCGACUCCAUGAAGUUGGAAUCGCUAGUAAUCGCGGAUCAGCACGCCGCGGUGAAUACGUUCCCGGGCCUU
This 275-nucleotide ribosomal RNA is filed under the name uncultured Desulfocapsa sp. Its description in RNAcentral is "partial 16S ribosomal RNA". It matches the Rfam family "Bacterial small subunit ribosomal RNA", at positions 1108 to 1382 of the family's 1533-position model. The record is from RNAcentral. Lineage: Bacteria; Pseudomonadati; Thermodesulfobacteriota; Desulfobulbia; Desulfobulbales; Desulfocapsaceae.